CAGCCGCCGCGGGAAUACGUAGGUGGCAAGCGUUGUCCGGAAUUAUUGGGCGUAAAGGGCUCGCAGGCGGUUUCUUAAGCCUGAUGUGAAAGCCCCCGGCUCAACCGGGGAGGGUCAUUGGAAACUGGGAAACUUGAGUGCAGAAGAGGAGAGUGGAAUUCCACGUGUAGCGGUGAAAUGCGUAGAGAUGUGGAGGAACACCAGUGGCGAAGGCGACUCUCUGGUCUGUAACUGACGCUGAGGAGCGAAAGCGUGGGGAGCGAACAGGAUUAGAUACCCCGGUAGUCCCUGUCUCUUAUAC
RNAcentral lists this ribosomal RNA (301 nucleotides) under uncultured bacterium. RNAcentral describes it as "partial 16S ribosomal RNA". It matches the Rfam family "Bacterial small subunit ribosomal RNA", at positions 509 to 807 of the family's 1533-position model. The record is from RNAcentral.